CCUACGGGAGGCUGCAGUGGGGAAUCUUCCGCAAUGGACGAAAGUCUGACGGAGCAACGCCGCGUGAGUGACGAAGGUUUUCGGAUCGUAAAGCUCUGUUGUCGGGGAAGAACACUUUCCAUGUGAAUAAUGUGGGGAGUUGACGGUACCUGACGAGGAAGCCACGGCUAACUACGUGCCAGCAGCCGCGGUAAUACGUAGGUGGCGAGCGUUGUCCGGAAUUAUUGGGCGUAAAGCGCGCGUAGGCGGGAUAUUAAGUCUAUUCUAAAAGUGCGGGGCUCAACCCCGUGAUGGGAUGGAAACUAAUAUUCUUGAGUGCCGGAGAGGAAAGCGGAAUUCCCAGUGUAGCGGUGAAAUGCGUAGAUAUUGGGAGGAACACCAGUGGCGAAGGCGGCUUUCUGGACGGUGUCUGACGCUGAGGCGCGAAAGCCAGGGGAGCGAACGGGAUUAGAUACCCUUGUAGUC
This 465-nucleotide ribosomal RNA is filed under the name uncultured bacterium. RNAcentral's name for it is "bacterial SSU rRNA". It matches the Rfam family "Bacterial small subunit ribosomal RNA", at positions 338 to 795 of the family's 1533-position model. The record is from RNAcentral.